Long non-coding RNA from Bos taurus (domestic cattle), 1438 nucleotides. Lineage: Eukaryota; Metazoa; Chordata; Mammalia; Artiodactyla; Bovidae. The record is from Ensembl.
GGGGGCGGGGCCGAGGCGCCUAUGACUCCGCCCCCAAUAAACUCCCCACUCGGUAAACAAGCCGCUGCGGCGCCUGGGGCUUCUUGUGCGCGCCUGGGGCUUCUCGUGCAAGCCCGGCGCCGAGUUACAUCACGGUCCCCUGGAGUUUUAAACCCCGGCCGCCUGGUCCCCGCGGCCCUCGCCUGCCCGCCCGCCGCCUGUGUCCGAGGAGCGGAGAGUCAGCGAGGCGUCUCCCUCCCCAGGCUCCUCAGGGCAGGAAGGCCUCCAGGUUUUCUCGGGCGGCCCCUGGGACUUCGUGGAAACCGAUUCAGCUGGAGGGAAGGGGUCACGGCGUGGCCGCACAGGAACUGCACCUCAGUUUCCCCACCUGUGAAACCAGGGGGCUGCGUGAGGGUUCUGUGCCAUCCAACUAGGGGCAGGAGAGGUGCGCCCUGAGCCCGGGGCGAGGGGCCGACCCCCGAAAGAAAUGGCUGCGGCCAGAGCCGAGCUUUCUCCUUGAGCGGUGGAGCUCGCAAAAAGCCAGGUGUCCCAGAACGCAGACCCUCCCCUCCGAGGGGCCUGGGUGACCGUGAGUCGCACAGAACAAAAAGAUGACUUUGUAGUAUCCUAGCAUCUCCCCUCUCCCGAUUUGCGGCGGGACAAAGACCCUCUGGGUAGAAGGAAGACCUGCCCGCCACCCCCACAGCGGGUUUGCGCUCUGAAAAAGGUGUUGCGGCGCAAUAUCCACAGCUUGCACGUCGGAGCCUGAGUUGAGCCUCAGGCGCCCGAGGAGGCAAUGGGUCCCCGCCUGUGGCAGACAGUAGAUGGGCCAGAACAGGUCCGGAAGGCCGCAGAAGGGACGCUGGCCCCAUCGAGCCCCAGGAGGUGCCCGGUCCGGGGACUCCACGGUUUGGUGAUUCUGCACCUGCGCUCUCCAAUAAGUUGGAUUUCAGGCACAACAACCACCCUAUGACGUCCGAAGAGUUAUUAUCCAUUGUUCAUGGGUGAGGAAACCGAGGCACAGAAACGUUAAAUCAACUUGCUCAAGGUCACAGAGCUAGAAAGAGGCAAAACUUGGAUGGGAACUAGGCUGUCUGGCUUUGUGUUUGUGCUGCAAAUCACUUCAUUACACAGCUUCUCCCCCGAUACUGGAGGAAUCUAUUGUGUUUUGUUUUCCUUGACUGCUUCCUUUGCUAACCAGUUUAUGAUAAACCUCUAACACAUGCUCACUGUCUAAAACCUGAGAUCGCCUUUCACGUAUUAAAAAUGAGGUAGCAAAGUGACCAAACUCAUGCGGGAGAAGAAAUAAAUCCCAGAGGAAUAAAUCUUCCUAUCUUUCUUUGUCCAUUUCUCUACGUGGGUGGGCAGGAAAGCACUGUCUGUGAACGGGUGUAGCUUGUUAAAAGAGACAUUGUAGCUGAAGGUUGCAGAGGCCUGGGCUGAUAGGUGUCCUUAGUUU